GACGAACGCUGGCGGCGUGCUUAACACAUGCAAGUCGAACGGAAAGGCCCCUUUGGGGGUACUCGAGUGGCGAACGGGUGAGUAACACGUGAGUAACCUGCCCUUGACUUCGGGAUAACUUCAGGAAACUGGGGCUAAUACCGGAUAGGAAUCCUUGCUGCAUGGUGGGGGUUGGAAAGCUUCGGCGGUUUUGGAUGGACUCGCGGCUUAUCAGCUUGUUGGUGGGGUAGUGGCUUACCAAGGCUUUGGCGGGUAGCCGGCCUGAGAGGGCGACCGGCCACAUUGGGACUGAGAUACGGCCCAGACUCCUACGGGAGGCAGCAGUGGGGAAUAUUGCACAAUGGGCGGAAGCCUGAUGCAGCAACGCCGCGUGCGGGAUGACGGCCUUCGGGUUGGAAACCGCUUUCAGCAGGGGCGAAGCUUGUGGUGACGGUACCUGCAGAAGAAGCACCGGCUAACUACGUG
RNAcentral lists this ribosomal RNA (465 nucleotides) under uncultured bacterium. RNAcentral describes it as "partial 16S ribosomal RNA". It matches the Rfam family "Bacterial small subunit ribosomal RNA", at positions 28 to 507 of the family's 1533-position model. The record is from RNAcentral.